Molecule: ribosomal RNA, 253 nt
Filed under: uncultured bacterium
Lineage: Bacteria
Description: partial 16S ribosomal RNA
Rfam family: Bacterial small subunit ribosomal RNA
Source: RNAcentral
UACGUAGGGUGCGAGCGUUGUCCGGAAUUAUUGGGCGUAAAGCGCACGCAGGCGGUCGAUUAAGUUUGGAGUGACAGUUGGUGGCUUAACUGCCAAAGUGCUUUGAAAACUGAUCGACUUGAGGGCUUCAGAGGGACACGGAAUUCCGGGUGGAGUGGUGAAAUGCGUAGAGAUCCGGAGGAACACCGAAGGCGAAGGCAGUGUCCUGGGGAGUACCUGACGCUCAGGUGCGAAAGCCAGGGGAGCGAACGGG